This is a long non-coding RNA of Rosa rugosa (rugosa rose), 724 nucleotides long. RefSeq lists it as uncharacterized. Lineage: Eukaryota; Viridiplantae; Streptophyta; Magnoliopsida; Rosales; Rosaceae. The transcript has 4 exons. The record is from RefSeq and is a predicted model, not a curated record.
UUUUCCGCUGGUUUUACUGCUUUUGGGGUUCCUUUUCUUGUUUGGACGGUUGUGUUUGCGGUUCCUUUUCUUUCGCUAUGAGUUUGACUCUCUCUUAGACUUUGUUUUCUUCUUUAUCAAAUAUGUGAGCUAGUUUGUUUCUGUGAAUUUUUGGGAAAAAGAUUGGAAGCAAUGUUGAGGUUCUGAGGUUCAUUUUGCUGUAUUUUGGUUGUUUCUUUUGGUUUCAGGACGAUUCCUAUUGAUGAUAAUGCCCAAAUUUGAAGGAUUUACGUGUAUAUCAGCCUUAGAGAGGAGAUCUGCUACUAAAUAUUACAUUUUCCAAUAGGCCGAACCUUUUACCAAUCACGUGAUGGCCUCCAUCCCGGAGCCUCUUUUUGGUGGACGCAUUAACGUAGUACAGAGUUAUGGUCCUGAUACGCUAGCUGGCUCUAUGAUGUACGACUUCUUUAUGAGAAAUUGGCUGCUGUUGUGACGAAAAAAAAGGGGUCAGAGGAGCCACUUGGACUUUUCUUCACACUCUUGCUGCUCAGGAGGCUUGCAACAACACUAGAGUAAUUGGUAUGUGAAGUAGAUCGAGGAAGAUCCCUGCAAAGUUUAUCUUGAAGUAGAGGAAAAUAACUAACUUGUAAAGCUUAAUUUUGUAAAUUUUGGUAGAAGCUCCAUUCCUUUUGUAACAUUCAUGAGGAAAAUUAAAAUGUAAUAUUUCUUUUUAUAUAAGCUUCAU